This 77-nucleotide transfer RNA is filed under the name Alphaproteobacteria bacterium. RNAcentral's name for it is "tRNA-Met". The stretch from base 3 to 71 matches the Rfam family "tRNA". Rfam says of the family: Transfer RNA (tRNA) molecules are approximately 80 nucleotides in length. Their secondary structure includes four short double-helical elements and three loops (D, anti-codon, and T loops). Lineage: Bacteria; Pseudomonadati; Pseudomonadota; Alphaproteobacteria. The record is from RNAcentral.
GGCGGGAUAGCUCAGUUCGAUAGAGCGCCGGCCUCAUAAGCCGGAAGUCGCAUGUUCGAAUCGUCCUCCCGAAGCCA